CCUACGGGCGGCAGCAGUGAGGAAUAUUGGUCAAUGGACGCAAGUCUGAACCAGCCAUGCCGCGUGCAGGAAGACGGCUCUAUGAGUUGUAAACUGCUUUUGUACGAGGGUAAACUCAGAUACGCGUAUCUGUCUGAACGUAUCUUACGAAUAAGGAUCGGCUAACUCCGUGCCAGCAGCCGCGGUAAUACGGAGGAUUCAAGCGUUAUCCGGAUUUAUUGGGUUUAAAGGGUGCGUAGGCGGUCUGAUAAGUUAGGGGUGAAAUCCCGGGGCUCAACUUCGGAAUUGCCUCUGAUACUGUUCGGCUAGAGAGUAGUUGCGGUAGGCGGAAUGUAUGGUGUAGCGGUGAAAUGCUUAGAGAUCAUACAGAACACCGAUUGCGAAGGCAGCUUACCAAGCUACUUCUGACGUUGAGGCACGAAAGCGUGGGUAGCAAACAGGAUUAGAUACCCCUGUAGUC
Molecule: ribosomal RNA, 460 nt
Filed under: uncultured bacterium
Lineage: Bacteria
Description: partial 16S ribosomal RNA
Rfam family: Bacterial small subunit ribosomal RNA
Source: RNAcentral